Molecule: ribosomal RNA, 678 nt
Filed under: Escherichia coli
Lineage: Bacteria; Pseudomonadati; Pseudomonadota; Gammaproteobacteria; Enterobacterales; Enterobacteriaceae
Description: partial 23S ribosomal RNA
Rfam family: Bacterial large subunit ribosomal RNA
Source: RNAcentral
AGGCGAAAAGAACCCCGGCGAGGGGAGUGAAAAAGAACCUGAAACCGUGUACGUACAAGCAGUGGGAGCACGCUUAGGCGUGUGACUGCGUACCUUUUGUAUAAUGGGUCAGCGACUUAUAUUCUGUAGCAAGGUUAACCGAAUAGGGGAGCCGAAGGGAAACCGAGUCUUAACUGGGCGUUAAGUUGCAGGGUAUAGACCCGAAACCCGGUGAUCUAGCCAUGGGCAGGUUGAAGGUUGGGUAACACUAACUGGAGGACCGAACCGACUAAUGUUGAAAAAUUAGCGGAUGACUUGUGGCUGGGGGUGAAAGGCCAAUCAAACCGGGAGAUAGCUGGUUCUCCCCGAAAGCUAUUUAGGUAGCGCCUCGUGAAUUCAUCUCCGGGGGUAGAGCACUGUUUCGGCAAGGGGGUCAUCCCGACUUACCAACCCGAUGCAAACUGCGAAUACCGGAGAAUGUUAUCACGGGAGACACACGGCGGGUGCUAACGUCCGUCGUGAAGAGGGAAACAACCCAGACCGCCAGCUAAGGUCCCAAAGUCAUGGUUAAGUGGGAAACGAUGUGGGAAGGCCCAGACAGCCAGGAUGUUGGCUUAGAAGCAGCCAUCAUUUAAAGAAAGCGUAAUAGCUCACUGGUCGAGUCGGCCUGCGCGGAAGAUGUAACGGGGCUAAACCAUG